UAGGGAAUCUUCGGCAAUGGGGGGAACCCUGACCGAGCAACGCCGCGUGAGUGAAGAAGGUUUUCGGAUCGUAAAGCUCUGUUGUUAAGGAAGAACGAGUGUGAGAAUGGAAAGUUCAUGCUGUGACGGUACUUAACCAGAAAGGGACGGCUAACUACGUGCCAGCAGCCGCGGUAAUACGUAGGUCCUGAGCGUUGUCCGGAUUUAUUGGGCGUAAAGCGAGCGCAGGCGGUUAGAAAAGUCUGAAGUGAAAGGCAGUGGCUCAACCAUUGUAGGCUUUGGAAACUGUUUAACUUGAGUGCAGAAGGGGAGAGUGGAAUUCCAUGUGUAGCGGUGAAAUGCGUAGAUAUAUGGAGGAACACCGGUGGCGAAAGCGGCUCUCUGGUCUGUAACUGACGCUGAGGCUCGAAAGCGUGGGUAGCAAACAGG
This 429-nucleotide ribosomal RNA is filed under the name Bacteroidota bacterium. Its description in RNAcentral is "Bacteroidetes bacterium partial 16S ribosomal RNA". It matches the Rfam family "Bacterial small subunit ribosomal RNA", at positions 355 to 776 of the family's 1533-position model. The record is from RNAcentral. Lineage: Bacteria; Pseudomonadati; Bacteroidota.